Small nucleolar RNA from Malania oleifera, 88 nucleotides. The record is from RefSeq and is a predicted model, not a curated record. Lineage: Eukaryota; Viridiplantae; Streptophyta; Magnoliopsida; Santalales; Ximeniaceae.
AGAUAUGAUGAAUUGUGCACUGGGCUCUGAGCAGUUGUUCAAACUGUUUAUUUGAUGCAAGUGCAGCCUAGAAAGCUAUGGCUGAUCU